Molecule: ribosomal RNA, 2774 nt
Filed under: Enterobacter hormaechei subsp. xiangfangensis
Lineage: Bacteria; Pseudomonadati; Pseudomonadota; Gammaproteobacteria; Enterobacterales; Enterobacteriaceae
Description: bacterial LSU rRNA
Rfam family: Bacterial large subunit ribosomal RNA
Source: RNAcentral
AGCGUACACGGUGGAUGCCCUGGCAGUCAGAGGCGAUGAAGGACGUGCUAAUCUGCGAAAAGCGCCGGCGAGGUGAUAUGAACCCUUGACCCGGCGAUGUCCGAAUGGGGAAACCCAGUGCAAUUCGUUGCACUAUCGUUAACUGAAUACAUAGGUUAACGAGGCGAACCGGGGGAACUGAAACAUCUAAGUACCCCGAGGAAAAGAAAUCAACCGAGAUUCCCCCAGUAGCGGCGAGCGAACGGGGAGCAGCCCGGAGUCUGAAUCAGCUUGUGUGUUAGUGGAACGGUCUGGAAAGUCCGACGGUACAGGGUGAUAGUCCCGUACACGAAAAUGCACAGGUUGUGAACUCGAAGAGUAGGGCGGGACACGUGGUAUCCUGUCUGAAUAUGGGGGGACCAUCCUCCAAGGCUAAAUACUCCUGACUGACCGAUAGUGAACCAGUACCGUGAGGGAAAGGCGAAAAGAACCCCGGCGAGGGGAGUGAAAAAGAACCUGAAACCGUGUACGUACAAGCAGUGGGAGCACCUUCGUGGUGUGACUGCGUACCUUUUGUAUAAUGGGUCAGCGACUUAUAUUCUGUAGCAAGGUUAACCGUAUAGGGGAGCCGAAGGGAAACCGAGUCUUAACUGGGCGUUAAGUUGCAGGGUAUAGACCCGAAACCCGGUGAUCUAGCCAUGGGCAGGUUGAAGGUUGGGUAACACUAACUGGAGGACCGAACCGACUAAUGUUGAAAAAUUAGCGGAUGACCUGUGGCUGGGGGUGAAAGGCCAAUCAAACCGGGAGAUAGCUGGUUCUCCCCGAAAGCUAUUUAGGUAGCGCCUCGUGAACUCAUCUUCGGGGGUAGAGCACUGUUUCGGCUAGGGGGCCAUCCCGGCUUACCAACCCGAUGCAAACUACGAAUACCGAAGAAUGUUAUCACGGGAGACACACGGCGGGUGCUAACGUCCGUCGUGAAGAGGGAAACAACCCAGACCGCCAGCUAAGGUCCCAAAGUCAUGGUUAAGUGGGAAACGAUGUGGGAAGGCACAGACAGCCAGGAUGUUGGCUUAGAAGCAGCCAUCAUUUAAAGAAAGCGUAAUAGCUCACUGGUCGAGUCGGCCUGCGCGGAAGAUGUAACGGGGCUAAACCAUGCACCGAAGCUGCGGCAGCGACACUAUGUGUUGUUGGGUAGGGGAGCGUUCUGUAAGCCGUUGAAGGUGUGCUGUGAGGCAUGCUGGAGGUAUCAGAAGUGCGAAUGCUGACAUAAGUAACGAUAAAGCGGGUGAAAAGCCCGCUCGCCGGAAGACCAAGGGUUCCUGUCCAACGUUAAUCGGGGCAGGGUGAGUCGACCCCUAAGGCGAGGCCGAAAGGCGUAGUCGAUGGGAAACAGGUUAAUAUUCCUGUACUUGGUGUUACUGCGAAGGGGGGACGGAGAAGGCUAUGUCAGCCGGGCGACGGUUGUCCCGGUUUAAGCAUGUAGGCGGAGGUUCCAGGUAAAUCCGGUACUUUGUUAACGCUGAGGUGUGAUGACGAGGCACUACGGUGCUGAAGUGAUAAAUGCCCUGCUUCCAGGAAAAGCCUCUAAGCAUCAGGUAACACGAAAUCGUACCCCAAACCGACACAGGUGGUCAGGUAGAGAAUACCAAGGCGCUUGAGAGAACUCGGGUGAAGGAACUAGGCAAAAUGGUGCCGUAACUUCGGGAGAAGGCACGCUGAUAGGUAGGUGAAGCCCCUGCGGGCGGAGCUGAAAUCAGUCGAAGAUACCAGCUGGCUGCAACUGUUUAUUAAAAACACAGCACUGUGCAAACACGAAAGUGGACGUAUACGGUGUGACGCCUGCCCGGUGCCGGAAGGUUAAUUGAUGGGGUUAGCGGCAACGCGAAGCUCUUGAUCGAAGCCCCGGUAAACGGCGGCCGUAACUAUAACGGUCCUAAGGUAGCGAAAUUCCUUGUCGGGUAAGUUCCGACCUGCACGAAUGGCGUAAUGAUGGCCAGGCUGUCUCCACCCGAGACUCAGUGAAAUUGAACUCGCUGUGAAGAUGCAGUGUACCCGCGGCAAGACGGAAAGACCCCGUGAACCUUUACUAUAGCUUGACACUGAACACUGGUCCUUGAUGUGUAGGAUAGGUGGGAGGCUUUGAAGCGUGGACGCCAGUCUGCGUGGAGCCAUCCUUGAAAUACCACCCUUUAAUGGCUGGUGUUCUAACGUAGACCCGUGAUCCGGGUUGCGGACAGUGUCUGGUGGGUAGUUUGACUGGGGCGGUCUCCUCCCAAAGAGUAACGGAGGAGCACGAAGGUUGGCUAAUCCUGGUCGGACAUCAGGAGGUUAGUGCAAUGGCAUAAGCCAGCUUGACUGCGAGCGUGACGGCGCGAGCAGGUGCGAAAGCAGGUCAUAGUGAUCCGGUGGUUCUGAAUGGAAGGGCCAUCGCUCAACGGAUAAAAGGUACUCCGGGGAUAACAGGCUGAUACCGCCCAAGAGUUCAUAUCGACGGCGGUGUUUGGCACCUCGAUGUCGGCUCAUCACAUCCUGGGGCUGAAGUAGGUCCCAAGGGUAUGGCUGUUCGCCAUUUAAAGUGGUACGCGAGCUGGGUUUAGAACGUCGUGAGACAGUUCGGUCCCUAUCUGCCGUGGGCGCUGGAGAAUUGAGGGGGGCUGCUCCUAGUACGAGAGGACCGGAGUGGACGCAUCACUGGUGUUCGGGUUGUCAUGCCAAUGGCACUGCCCGGUAGCUAAAUGCGGAAGAGAUAAGUGCUGAAAGCAUCUAAGCACGAAACUUGCCCCGAGAUGAGUUCU